AAAUGGACCUUCAAGUUCUGCAUCAUCAAACACGUGAACACGCCCUCUGCUCUGGAUAACCUGCUGGUGUCUCACAUUUCCUGCCCUAAGGUUCGCUUAGCUUCUCCGUUUCUCUGGUUAGGGUGUUGUUGCCUUCCUGUUCACUUUAUUUAGUCUCUGAACGGAAAUUCAUUUGCAACUAGUGGUGGGGGCCAACACAUUCACACAAACACCUUUAUGCAACAAUUAAUUAGACAAAUUGGAGACAUACAUCAAGAAAUAAAAAAAGAAUACACAAAAAUCAUGAGCAGAUGUCAAGUCAUGGCAUUAAAGCUACAGUUUACUUAAAGAAUGACAGUGGGGAUAACAGACUCUAAUCUGUUCGUUCUAAGGUGGAAUCCAUCAAGACCUUUUUAUAGUUUGGAAUACUGAUCAGGACUUGAAUUGGUUUAUAAUGUCUUUCAACUGAAUCCCAAUUAUUUUUCCAAAUCCAGUUCUAUAGUCUUUGAUGAAAGCUUUCUUUCUGUAGGAGAUCAAGGGUUUCCACCAGGUAACCCUCCUCCAGCAUAGACCAGGCAGUCAAGACUUCAGGCCGGCUCACUGAUGCUAAGCUACGACAGUUCUAGACUCCAGGUCACAACCAGUCUCUCCAGGAUUCAACCAGGUUCACCUGCUGAGAAGCAGACUCCAGUAACUGGCAGCUUCAUCGUCAGAGACAUUAGAGACAGCAGCAACCACAGGGAGGUUUUACACCAGCGGCCACAAGGGGCAACAUCCACACUCGGUUACAACAACCGGAGGUCACCAAAGUUAGUUCUGCUUCAGUGUGUAAGUUUGCCAAAACAAUGGCAGAUUGUAUUUGGCCAGGAAAUGAAACACCUGCAGACCAGAAUUGAGCAACUUUGGGUUUGUGUACUGCAAGUUUCAAAUGAAAAACCUCCUCAGGACCUAGCAGCCAGACUGUCGACUAUUCACUGUUAACACAGAGUUGAUUCACCCCAAGAGGAGCAUUUAGAUUUAAAUUGUUGAAGUCAUUACAAAGAGACGGUGUUAAAAGUCCGUCUGUUUGUUUGGCACUGCAUUACCCAAGAUGCAUCUGUUCAUUUUGUAGUUCUAAUUUUACGUAGCUGAGCUGGUUGUUUUUCAGUGCUUCUGUGUGGCUCGGUGGCAUUGAAGUAGCAUCCACAUCAAUCCUUUUGUAAUCCCGUGUGUAUGAAACCUGUGUGCGUUUUUAUGAUAUAACCACACACACACACAAACACACCCCCUCACACCAAGUACGGGCACCUCGGUGCUGUCUUCACCUCACCAUCGGCUGUGACUUCACCUCCCGUUGACCUGCUAUUGUUCUAUCAAUAAACCUUCUAAGCUGCA
This is a long non-coding RNA of Xiphophorus couchianus (Monterrey platyfish), 1353 nucleotides long. RefSeq lists it as uncharacterized. Lineage: Eukaryota; Metazoa; Chordata; Actinopteri; Cyprinodontiformes; Poeciliidae. The transcript has 2 exons. The record is from RefSeq and is a predicted model, not a curated record.